This 457-nucleotide ribosomal RNA is filed under the name uncultured bacterium. RNAcentral's name for it is "bacterial SSU rRNA". It matches the Rfam family "Bacterial small subunit ribosomal RNA", at positions 335 to 783 of the family's 1533-position model. The record is from RNAcentral.
ACUCCUACGGGAGGCAGCAGUGGGGAAUAUUGCACAAUGGGCGCAAGCCUGAUGCAGCCAUGCCGCGUGUAUGAAGAAGGCCUUCGGGUUGUAAAGUACUUUCAGCAGUGAGGAAGGCGGGUACGUUAAUAGCGUGCUCGUUUGACGUUAGCUGCAGAAGAAGCACCGGCUAACUCCGUGCCAGCAGCCGCGGUAAUACGGAGGGUGCGAGCGUUAAUCGGAAUUACUGGGGCGUAAAGCGCAUGCAGGUGGUUUGUUAAGUCAGAUGUGAAAGCCCGGGGGCUCAACCUCGGAAUUGCAUUUGAAACUGGCAGACUAGAGUACUGUAGAGGGGGUAGAAUUUCAGGUGUAGCGGUGAAAUGCGUAGAGAUCUGAAGGAAUACCGGUGGCGAAGGCGGCCCCCUGGACAGAUACUGACACUCAGAUGCGAAAGCGUGGGGAGCAAACAGGAUUAGAU